CCCCCCCGGUGGCUUUUCAUUUUUUCUUAUCUCCCUUUCACAGCCUCCCACGGACAGGCUCUUCCUCGACCAACCGUUCCCCAAUUCAGCCCUUGUUUUCCUGUGGCCGUUGAACCACAACAGCCACUUUUCCCUCUCAGCUGCAGGAGCAAGAGACGGAAUGAGCGGAGACCCAGCUCCCUCCUCACUUCGACUCAGCAGCAGCGUCUCCCUCGCCGGCCAGUAGUAGUCCUUCCUUCACCAGCAGCCACCGCAGCUCUCCUUUCCCAUUCUUCCCCCAGCUGCUAGCCAAGACAAACCCAUUUUCUUCAUCAUCUCCUUCGGCCGGCAGCAGACCCAGCUCACUGCUUCCAACAGCCUUCAUCAUCUCCUUCGGCGCCGUCUCCAGCUCCUCCACCAAGCGCAGCGGCAGCCCCCGCUGUCUUCUUCCUCUCCUGCCAA
RNAcentral lists this long non-coding RNA (441 nucleotides) under Populus trichocarpa (black cottonwood). Its description in RNAcentral is "long non-coding RNA (PTRI_LNC004421)". Lineage: Eukaryota; Viridiplantae; Streptophyta; Magnoliopsida; Malpighiales; Salicaceae. The record is from RNAcentral.